This 806-nucleotide ribosomal RNA is filed under the name Hysterothylacium aduncum. RNAcentral's name for it is "SSU rRNA". It matches the Rfam family "Eukaryotic small subunit ribosomal RNA", at positions 174 to 992 of the family's 1831-position model. Lineage: Eukaryota; Metazoa; Nematoda; Chromadorea; Rhabditida; Raphidascarididae. The record is from RNAcentral.
AGCUCCGAAUUUUUGACGAGCGCAUCUAUUAGAUUAAAACCAAUCGGGUUUCGGCCCGUUUGUUGGUGACUCUGAAUAACUAUGGCUGAUCGCAUGGUCUAGAACCGGCGACGUGUCUAUCAAGUGUCUGCCUUAUCAACUGUCGAUGGUAGUUUAUGUGCCUACCAUGGUUGUAACGGGUAACGGAGAAUAAGGGUUCGACUCCGGAGAGGGAGCCUGAGAAACGGCUACCACAUCCAAGGAAGGCAGCAGGCGCGCAAAUUACCCACUCUCGGCAUGAGGAGGUAGUGACGAAAAAUAACGAGACCGUUCUCUAUGAGGCCGGUUAUCGGAAUGGGUACAAUUUAAACCCGUUAACGAGGAUCUAUGAGAGGGCAAGUCUGGUGCCAGCAGCCGCGGUAAUUCCAGCUCUCAAAGUGUAUAUCGUCAUUGCUGCGGUUAAAAAGCUCGUAGUUGGAUCUGCGCCUCAGGACCUGGUCCGCCCACUGGGUGAGAACUGGGCUCCUGGGCUAGUUCUGCUGGUUUUCCCUGCGUUGCCUUCAUCGGUAGCGUAGGGUGGCUAGCGAGUUUACUUUGAAAAAAUUAGAGUGCUUCACGCGGGCUUAUGUCUGAAUACUCGUGCAUGGAAUAAUAGAAUAGGAUCUCGGCUCUAUUUUGUUGGUUUUCUGAUCUGAGAUAAUGGUUAAGAGGGACGGACGGGGGCAUUCGUAUCGCUGCGUGAGAGGUGAAAUUCUUGGACCGUAGCGAGACGUCCGACUGCGAAAGCAUUUGCCAAGAAUGUCUUCAUUAAUCAAGAACGAAAGUCA